UACGUAGGGUGCGAGCGUUAAUCGGAAUUACUGGGCGUAAAGUGUGCGCAGGCGGCCGCGCAAGUCGAGUGUGAAAGCCCCGAGCUUAACUUGGGAAUUGCGCUCGAAACUACGUGGCUGGAGUGUGGCAGAGGAAGGUGGAAUUCCACGUGUAGCGGUGAAAUGCGUAGAGAUGUGGAGGAACACCAAUGGCGGAGUCAGCCUUCUGGGCCAACACUGACGCCCAUGCACGAAAGCGUGGGGAGCAAACAGG
Molecule: ribosomal RNA, 253 nt
Filed under: uncultured bacterium
Lineage: Bacteria
Description: partial 16S ribosomal RNA
Rfam family: Bacterial small subunit ribosomal RNA
Source: RNAcentral